Cordylochernes scorpioides is the source of this 117-nucleotide non-coding RNA. The record is from the annotation of a GenBank genome assembly. Lineage: Eukaryota; Metazoa; Arthropoda; Arachnida; Pseudoscorpiones; Chernetidae.
AUUAUUAUACUAGGCAUUGAAAACACCGGUUCUCGUCCGAUCACCGAAGUUAAGCAAUGUUGGGCCCGGUCAGUACUUGGGAGGGUGACCACCUGGGAACACCGGGUGCUGUAGUUA